Molecule: unclassified non-coding RNA, 253 nt
Filed under: Hevea brasiliensis (rubber tree)
Lineage: Eukaryota; Viridiplantae; Streptophyta; Magnoliopsida; Malpighiales; Euphorbiaceae
Source: RNAcentral
AUUCCAACACAGCCUCACAGUAAAUCCCUUCAUCUUCAUAUAAAAUACGGCUUGUUGACAAAGAAAAAAGGCUUGAUCUUGAAGAGAUAGCCUGUAGCCGGCCAUGGCCCUGCUUAGCUCUAUCUGCUUUGAGAUGGGCGGCAAGGAAGGGAAGACUGGUGUAGGAUAAUCAACGGUUAAAGGUGCAUUCUUAGAAGUGGAAACUGGUGGGGAUGACAUGGGGUUGCUUGAUGAAUGGUGAAGAGAGCAGCAA